RNAcentral lists this ribosomal RNA (405 nucleotides) under uncultured bacterium. RNAcentral's name for it is "bacterial SSU rRNA". It matches the Rfam family "Bacterial small subunit ribosomal RNA", at positions 29 to 457 of the family's 1533-position model. The record is from RNAcentral.
AACGAACGCUGGCGGCAGGCCUCAAACAUGCAAGUCUAGGGGGUGUAGCAAUACAUCACCGGCGGACGGGUGCGUAACGCGUGGGAAUAUACCUAUUGGUUCGGAACAACACAGGGAAACUUGUGCUAAUACCGAAUGUGCCCUUACGGGGAAAGAUUUAUCGCCAAUGGAUUAGCCCGCGUCCGAUUAGCUAGUUGGUGAGGUAACGGCUCACCAAGGCUCCGAUCGGUAGCUGUUCUGAGAGGAAGAUCAGCCACACUGGGACUGAGACACGGCCCAGACUCCUACGGGAGGCAGCAGUUGGGAAUCUUGGACAAUGGGGGGAAACCCUGAUCCAGCCAUGCCGCGUGAGUGAUGAAGGCCUUCGGGUUGGUAAAACUCUUUCGACGGGACGGAUAAUGACGG